Molecule: ribosomal RNA, 757 nt
Filed under: Ralstonia solanacearum
Lineage: Bacteria; Pseudomonadati; Pseudomonadota; Betaproteobacteria; Burkholderiales; Burkholderiaceae
Description: bacterial SSU rRNA
Rfam family: Bacterial small subunit ribosomal RNA
Source: RNAcentral
AUUGAACGCUGGCGGCAUGCCUUACACAUGCAAGUCGAACGGCAGCGGGGGUAGCUUGCUACCUGCCGGCGAGUGGCGAACGGGUGAGUAAUACAUCGGAACGUGCCCUGUAGUGGGGGAUAACUAGUCGAAAGACUAGCUAAUACCGCAUACGACCUGAGGGUGAAAGUGGGGGACCGCAAGGCCUCAUGCUAUAGGAGCGGCCGAUGUCUGAUUAGCUAGUUGGUGGGGUAAGGGCCCACCAAGGCGACGAUCAGUAGCUGGUCUGAGAGGACGAUCAGCCACACUGGGACUGAGACACGGCCCAGACUCCUACGGGAGGCAGCAGUGGGGAAUUUUGGACAAUGGGGGCAACCCUGAUCCAGCAAUGCCGCGUGUGUGAAGAAGGCCUUCGGGUUGUAAAGCACUUUUGUCCGGAAAGAAAUCGCACUGGUUAAUACCUGGUGUGGAUGACGGUACCGGAAGAAUAAGGACCGGCUAACUACGUGCCAGCAGCCGCGGUAAUACGUAGGGUCCAAGCGUUAAUCGGAAUUACUGGGCGUAAAGCGUGCGCAGGCGGUUGUGCAAGACCGAUGUGAAAUCCCCGGGCUUAACCUGGGAAUUGCAUUGGUGACUGCACGGCUAGAGUGUGUCAGAGGGAGGUAGAAUUCCACGUGUAGCAGUGAAAUGCGUAGAGAUGUGGAGGAAUACCGAUGGCGAAGGCAGCCUCCUGGGAUAACACUGACGCUCAUGCACGAAAGCGUGGGGAGCAAACAGG